Molecule: long non-coding RNA, 1807 nt
Filed under: Mytilus galloprovincialis (Mediterranean mussel)
Lineage: Eukaryota; Metazoa; Mollusca; Bivalvia; Mytilida; Mytilidae
Source: RNAcentral
ACCACAUCCAAAAAGCACAAUAGUGUCGAAAGUGGCGUUAUACUCCAAACGUUACAAUCAAUCAAAUUUGUUGCAUGCAUGAUAUAUUUGACACUGGACGUUAAGCAAAUUAUCAAUCAAUCAAUUUAGAAUAAAGAAUAAGCAUUCAACUAAUAGUGAUAUAAGCAGAGUCCAUUACUAGACACACCGUUGAACAAACACAGAAAACUUGACUUGAUUUCAAGCACAAAAUAUGGGUUGGGUAAACCAGUUUUACUUGAGAAGAAACAUUCCCCUUUGAGUGUCUAUACACAAUAAAAAUAACUGAUUUAUUUGUAUUGCUGCGUAUUCGGAUUUUUUAAAGGCAACUUUAUGAGCUGGACUUGUAAAAAGUCUAUGCGACUAGCAUGAUGAUCAAAACGAUGAUGAUGAUGAUGAUGAUGAUGGACACAACAGAUAUAAUUUAGAGGAAAAUGAAAAAUAUAGAUGAACACGUAAAAUUACAAGAUAUAAUUAUUUGUGCACAAUAAUUUCACACGUGACGAUGUUACAUACAAGUAGGGAUAUCCUGUCAACAUCUUGUCAUAUUGAUCUCACCUUUUCCGACAUCAGGUACAGUUUAAUACUUAUAUACUUUUUAUUAAUUAUAAAACCCGGUCCAAUUAAUUUUUUUUAAAUUGCUAUGCAAAAUGGUGUGACAGCAAAGUUUUGCAAUUAUCUAGGGUUUUACUUUUUUAAAAUGCCUUCACAAAAAGCUGUAACAGCAAAAUUUUGCAACUGUAUAAACUGUUUAAAAUGCCUUUACAUUGUCAUAAUUUCGCAUGAAAUAACAAAAUUGUUCUUGUAUGCUACAUUUCGUAACGUUAGUAGAAGAUAGUUUUGAUACAAUUGUUUUUGUAAAAUUUUGUAUCAAAAACUAAAAUCACAAAAAUACUGAACUUUCGAGAAAAAUUGAAAAAGGAAAGUCCUUAAUCGAAUGACAAAAUCAGAUAUAAAGCUCAAUCACAUCAAACGAAUGGAUAUUAACAACUGCCAUAUUCCUGACUUGGUACAGGCAUUUUCUUAUUUAGGAAAGGGCGCAUUAAACCUUGUUUUGAUUUUAAAGCUAGCAAAACCUCAUAUGACAUGUAUACUUGAAAUCAGAAUAAUUAGUUUUUUUAAAGGCAAAAUGAUUCACAUUAUCUUAAUUCACGUGAGAGUUACGCGAAAAUAUCGAGAACAAUUUCUUUCAAGUUUCGCAUAGUUACGUAACUCUGGCUCUGAAAGUAACUUCACAUUGUAGUUAAUUUUAUUGUUAGGGAACGACUUCAGAAGGUGGUUUGGUGGAGGGUAUGGUUUUUCCAAAUUUUUUUUAUCCCCAAUUUGAUUACAAAUAUUCUGUUCAAGCAGAUGACAAAAAAAAAACAUAUGCUGAAUCCAUACUUUAUGGUGUAAAUUUGUAUUAAAAUGAUUUGAUUGUAUGCGUUGAAAAACUAAAUGAAAAUGAGAGCGCAAAAGAAAAUUUUGACUCAGACAAAAAAAAAACGAAAAAAAAAACAUACAUGUACCCUCCCAAUCCCCCCCCCCCUCCUUGUUUUUUUUAAAGUUAAAUGGUUGCUCCCUUAAAUGCUUUAUAACGUUCAAUCUUAAAAUUGGUGAUAUUACUAACUGCGGAAAUAUGACAUAAUUAAAUUUGAAAAACUUGAAUAUCAGUUGUAGAUCAAGAUGGGUGAAAAUGGUGGUUUAGUUCGUAUUAUAAUCUAUAGUGUGGUUGGUUUAAUCGUAGCUGCAGUCUUCAUUGCUAUAGUUUUAGUAGCUGUCUCAUUGAAAAAACUGGCUUCUGAGGAAA